RNAcentral lists this ribosomal RNA (418 nucleotides) under Nocardiaceae bacterium Ellin7166. RNAcentral describes it as "bacterial SSU rRNA". It matches the Rfam family "Bacterial small subunit ribosomal RNA", at positions 28 to 475 of the family's 1533-position model. Lineage: Bacteria; Bacillati; Actinomycetota; Actinomycetes; Mycobacteriales; Nocardiaceae. The record is from RNAcentral.
GACGAACGCUGGCGGCGUGCUUAACACAUGCAAGUCGAACGAGGUGCUUGCACCUAGUGGCGAACGGGUGAGUAACACGUGAGCAACCUGCCCUUGGCUCUGGGAUAGCCUCCGGAAACGGGGAUUAAUACCGGACAUGACCCUGCUCUGCAUGGAGCGGGGUGGAAAGUUUUUCGGCCAGGGAGGGGCUCGCGGCCUAUCAGCUUGUUGGGGGGGUAACGGCCCACCAAGGCGACGACGGGUAGCCGGCCUGAGAGGGCGACCGGCCACACUGGGACUGAGACACGGCCCAGACUCCUACGGGAGGCAGCAGUGGGGAAUAUUGCACAAUGGGGGAAACCCUGAUGCAGCGACGCCGCGUGCGGGAUGAAGGCCUUCGGGUUGUAAACCGCUUUCAGCAGGGGCGAAUUCAAGACGG